UGGGGAAUAUUGCACAAUGGGCGAAAGCCUGAUGCAGCAACGCCGCGUGAGUGAUGAAGGUCUUCGGAUUGUAAAGCUCUGUCUUUUGGGACGAUAAUGACGGUACCAAAGGAGGAAGCCACGGCUAACUACGUGCCAGCAGCCGCGGUAAUACGUAGGUGGCGAGCGUUGUCCGGAUUUACUGGGCGUAAAGGGUGCGUAGGCGGAUGUUUAAGUGAGAUGUGAAAUACCCGGGCUUAACUUGGGUGCUGCAUUUCAAACUGGAUAUCUAGAGUGCAGGAGAGGAGAAUGGAAUCCCUAGUGUAGCGGUGAAAUGCGUAGAGAUUAGGAAGAACACCAGUGGCGAAGGCGAUUCUCUGGACUGUAACUGACGCUGAGGCACGAAAGCGUGGGUAGCAAACAGGAUUAGAUACCCUGGUAGUCCACGCCGUAAACGAUGAGUACUAGGUGUAGGAGGUAUCGACCCCUUCUGUGCCGCAGUAAACACAUUAAGUACUCCGCCUGGGAAGUACGAUCGCAAGAUUAAAACUCUAAAGUGAAUUGA
Molecule: ribosomal RNA, 544 nt
Filed under: uncultured bacterium
Lineage: Bacteria
Description: partial 16S ribosomal RNA
Rfam family: Bacterial small subunit ribosomal RNA
Source: RNAcentral